AUUGAACGCUGGCGGCAUGCCUUACACAUGCAAGUCGAACGGCAGCACGGACUUCGGUCUGGUGGCGAGUGGCGAACGGGUGAGUAAUGUAUCGGAACGUACCUUUCAGUGGGGGAUAACGUAGCGAAAGUUACGCUAAUACCGCAUAUUCUGUGAGCAGGAAAGCAGGGGAUCGCAAGACCUUGCGCUGAUUGAGCGGCCGAUAUCAGAUUAGCUAGUUGGUGGGGUAAAGGCCUACCAAGGCUACGAUCUGUAGCGGGUCUGAGAGGAUGAUCCGCCACACUGGAACUGAGACACGGUCCAGACUCCUACGGGAGGCAGCAGUGGGGAAUUUUGGACAAUGGGGGCAACCCUGAUCCAGCCAUGCCGCGUGAGUGAAGAAGGCCUCGG
RNAcentral lists this ribosomal RNA (390 nucleotides) under uncultured bacterium. RNAcentral's name for it is "bacterial SSU rRNA". It matches the Rfam family "Bacterial small subunit ribosomal RNA", at positions 30 to 420 of the family's 1533-position model. The record is from RNAcentral.